AACGCACGAGACCUGCGGACCUGCGGAAGGAUCAUUACCGAGUUUACAACUCCCAAACCCAAUGUGAACCAUACCAAACUGUUGCCUCGGCGGGGUCACGCCCCGGGUGCGUCGCAGCCCCGGAACCAGGCGCCCGCCGGAGGGACCAACCAAACUCUUUCUGUAGUCCCCUCGCGGACGUUAUUUCUUACAGCUCUGAGCAAAAAUUCAAAAUGAAUCAAAACUUUUAACAAUGGAUCU
This 240-nucleotide unclassified non-coding RNA is filed under the name soil metagenome. RNAcentral's name for it is "partial contains 5.8S ribosomal RNA, internal transcribed spacer 2, and large subunit ribosomal RNA". The record is from RNAcentral.